RNAcentral lists this ribosomal RNA (490 nucleotides) under uncultured bacterium. RNAcentral's name for it is "bacterial SSU rRNA". It matches the Rfam family "Bacterial small subunit ribosomal RNA", at positions 15 to 518 of the family's 1533-position model. The record is from RNAcentral.
GAUCAUGGCUCAGGAUGAACGCUGGCGGCACGCCUAACACAUGCAAGUCGAACGGAGUUAUGGGAGCUUGCUCCUAUAAACUUAGUGGCGGACGGGUGAGUAACACGUGAGCAACCUGCCUUUCAGAGAGGGAUAGCUUCUGGAAACGGAUGGUAAUACCUCAUAACAUACAGAAUCGGCAUCGUUUCUGUAUCAAAGAUUUAUCGCUGAAAGAUGGGCUCGCGUCUGAUUAGCUGGUUGGUGAGGUAACGGCCCACCAAGGCAACGAUCAGUAGCCGGACUGAGAGGUUGAACGGCCACAUUGGGACUGAGACACGGCCCAGACUCCUACGGGAGGCAGCAGUGGGGAAUAUUGCACAAUGGGCGCAAGCCUGAUGCAGCGAUGCCGCGUGAGGGAAGAAGGUUUUCGGAUUGUAAACCUCUGUCAUCGGGGACGAAAAUGACGGUACCCGAGAAGGAAGCUCCGGCCUAACUACGUGCCAGCAGCCGC